CAAUAGCGUAUAUUAAAGUUGUUGCAGUUAAAAAGCUCGUAGUUGGAUUUCGGGGCAGCCUGGCUGGUCCGCCGCAAGGCGAGUACUGGUCAGCCGCCCUUCCUCUCGAAAGCCCCGACUGCUCUUUAUUGCAGUGGUCGGGUAGUUCGGGACGUUUACUUUGAAAAAAUUAGGGUGUUCAAGGCAGGCCUACGCCUGAAUACAUUAGCAUGGAAUAAUGGAAGAGGACCUCGGUCCUAUUUUGUUGGUUUCCAGGACCGAAGUAAUGAUUAAGAGGGACAGUUGGGGGCAUUCGUAUUUAAUUGUCAGAGGUGAAAUUCUCGGAUUUAUGAAAGACGAACAACUGCGAAAGCAUUUGCCAAGGAUGUUUUCAUUAA
Molecule: ribosomal RNA, 377 nt
Filed under: uncultured eukaryote
Lineage: Eukaryota
Description: partial 18S ribosomal RNA
Rfam family: Eukaryotic small subunit ribosomal RNA
Source: RNAcentral